Durio zibethinus is the source of this 1785-nucleotide non-coding RNA. Lineage: Eukaryota; Viridiplantae; Streptophyta; Magnoliopsida; Malvales; Malvaceae. The record is from RefSeq and is a predicted model, not a curated record.
CAUUAUAUUAAUUAAUAGUAAUAUUUUAACUCCAUGUUGAUAAAGUCUAGAUUUCGGUUUUACAAAUGAGUUAACCAAAUAAAAAAGCAAGCAAGAAAAAUGGCUGCUCCAGCUCCAGCUCCCCAGCUAACAGUUAUCACUUUCCUGUUCCUCCUCUCCACCAUCAUCCAAUCCCAUCGUUCCACCUACACCACCAUCUCCGUCACCGACUUCGGAGCCAUCGGGGACGGCAAACACUACGACACAUGCGCCAUCCAAUCAGCGAUCGACAGCUGCCACGCCUACUCCACCACCUCCAAACCAUGCUAUGUAGCCUUCCCGUCAGGCACCUACCUAACAGCCACCAUCUUCCUCAGAUCCAACGUCUUUUUAAACAUCCCAGAAGGCUCCACCAUCUUGGGUGGGACCAAAUUGGAAGACUACCCAAAAGAUUCGGAUAAAUGGUAUGUGAUAUUGGCAGAGAAUGCUAGCGAUGUUGGGAUAACAGGUGGAGGGGUUGUGGAUGGGCAGGGAUUGAAGUUCGUGGUGAAGUUUAAUCCAAGGAAAAAUGUGAUGAUGAGUUGGAACCAGACCGGGGCUUGCUUAGGCGAUGAGUGUCGGCCGAGGUUGGUUGGUUUUCUUGACUCCACCAAUGUUAGAGUUUGGAAUGUUACCCUCAACCUGCCGGCUUAUUGGUGCUUGCACAUAGUUCGAUGUGAAAACACAUCAAUUCAUGAUGUUUCAAUAUAUGGAGAUUUUAAUACACCUAACAAUGAUGGAAUAGACAUAGAGGAUUCAAAUAAUACAGUGAUCACAAGAUGCCACAUUGAUACUGGAGAUGAUGCCCUAUGCCCGAAGACAUCCACUUCUCCCCUACAUAACUUAACAGCCACAGACUGCUGGAUUCGAACAAAAUCUUCCGCAAUUAAACUUGGAAGUGCCAGUUGGUUUGAGUUCAAGAAUAUGGUCUUUGACAACAUAACUAUUGUAGAUUCUCAUAGAGGGCUUGGAUUUCAGAUACGUGAUGGAGGAAAUGCAAGUGACAUUACUUUCUCGAACAUAAACAUCAGUACAAGAUACUAUGAUCUGUCAUGGUGGGGGAGGGCAGAGCCAAUUUACGUGACAACCUGCCCACGAGACUCAAACUCAGCAGAGGGUUCAAUCUCUAAUUUAAACUUCAUAAACAUCACUGCAAUUUCUGAAAAUGGUGUCUUCUUAUCAGGUUCCAAAGGUGGACUUCUAAGGAAUUUGAGAUUCAUUAACAUGAAUCUAACUUACAAAAAAUGGACAAAUUAUGUUGGCGGGUUGGUUGACUACAGGCCUGGAUGUCAGGGACUUGUGAAUCACAGCACAGCUGGGAUUAUCAUGGAACAUAUUGAUGGGUUGGAUGUUGAGAAUGUAAAUAUGAGAUGGUUCGAUGGACGAACAUUGCAAUGGGAUAAUCCUUUGGACUUCAGGCCUUUAACUGUGAAUAAUAUUUCUUUGCUUAACUUUCAUUCUGGUUUCUACAGACAGUGACAGAAAGAUUGGAGGCUAAUUCCCUUUGCUCAAUGUCAUUCUUUGAUGGAAAUAAGGCUGAACGUGUUUUAUAGCGUCUUGGAGGAGGUGAGGUAUGUGCUUGAUGAAAUGCCUGAGAGGAAUGUGGUUUCUUCACUUCUUGGACUGCUAUGAUUUCGGCUUAUUCUCAAAAAGGGUUUGCCUCUUAAGGCGUUGGAUUUUUUUUUUACAGAUGUCAAGGUAUUUUAUGCUAACAUGACUUUACAUGUAAUACGGUUUAGAUCGGAUUAAAUCCGAUUUACGUUUAAA